RNAcentral lists this long non-coding RNA (1933 nucleotides) under Eucalyptus grandis. RNAcentral's name for it is "long non-coding RNA (EGRA_LNC005332)". Lineage: Eukaryota; Viridiplantae; Streptophyta; Magnoliopsida; Myrtales; Myrtaceae. The record is from RNAcentral.
UCUCUCUCUCCAUCUUCGUUUGCUGCUCGAGAUCCCAGAUCUGGGAUGGACGCCGAAGCAGCACCGUCGGAGCAGCCGCACGCCUCCGCCCGUCGCCGCUCACCGUCUCGCGCUCCGCCGUUGCCAGCGCUCGCCCGCGCUUGGCCGACGCCCAGCUGCGUCUCAGUCUCGGUUCAUGGGUUCCGGGAGCUGCCGGAGCUCGUCCCCGCCGCCGUGAGCCACCGUGCGCCCCCGCCUCAGCUCGCCGGAAGUCCCUCGGCCCUUGUGCACCUCAACCGGCGCCGGAUCCGCCCAUUCUCGGCCUCAAACCGCCAUGGACAGCAGCUGCAGAAAAUGGGUAUGCAGCGGACGUUUGGCCCGUUUUGGCCGCCUUCCCGAGCCCGGAUGCUCGGCCCGCUUUGAGGAAAGUCGAUCCUCGCGUCGUCCCCGUCGUUUUGGUUCGCUCGGCUCGCUAAUCCGGUGAGUUUAGCUCACUAAACCUCGCUUAGAGGGUUAAUUAUGCUUUAGGUGUGCUUAGUUUAUGUUAAGUGUGAUUAGGUGGUUAGUUUGAUUUAUUUAAGUUUGGAUUAUAUUAAUGUGUUUAAUUAGCUUAAAUUGUGUUUAAAUUAAAGUUAAGUGGGUGUUUAUAUUAAUAUAAACCUUGAUGUGACAAAAAUGAAUUUACUUUUGAUUUAUUUAAAUAUCUCGAAAUUAUUGAAUAAUUAAAUAAUAUUUUAAUAUUCGAAAUUAUUAAAAUAUUAUUAUUUAAUUAUUUUCGGAAUAAAUAUAAUUAUUUAUUAAAUUCCGCAAAUUUUGGUCGGGACCCUAAAUUCUCAGAAUUUCGUGCCGGUCGCUACGGUACAUUCGGAUUUUUGAAAUUGAUGAUUGGAUAUUUUUAAAUUGAGUGUGGAUCGUGAAAAAUAUGGAUAUUAUUAUUAUAUUAAUUUUCGGAAUAAAUUUAAUUAUUUAAUAAAUUCUGAAAAUUAUUUGGGAACCUUAUUUGCUCAGAAUUUCGUGCCGAUCGCUGCUGUGCAUUUAGAAUUUGAUAUUGAUGAUUGGUUGUGGCGAAUUGAGUGUGAUUGCGAUAUAUAUGGAUUCUUUAUAAAUUUCUAAGUGUGGGAAUUGAGGAGAGAUGAGGUCGUGAAUUGCCACCUAUUAGAGGUCGCGCCCGAUGGGGCCGUGAUAUGCCACCUGAUAAAGGUCGCGCCCAGUGGGGCCGUUUUAUGCCACCUAUUAGAGGUCGCGCCCGAUGGGGCCGUGAUAUGCCACCUGAUAAAGGUCGCGCCCAGUGGGGCCGUUUUAUGCCACCUGAUAAAGGUCGCGCCCGAUGGGGCCGUGAAUUGCCACCUAUUAGAGGUCGCGCCCAAUGGGGCCGUGAAUUGCCACCUGUUAAAGGUCGCGCCGAGUAGGGCCGUAGUUGAGAGCAAUGAUUGAUUUGCUAGAAUGACAUGUAAUCGGCCGAGUCGAUUGAUCGCUGAGACGAUCCAAGUGGUUGAAUUGUUUUGAUAAUUUGAUUGAGCCAUGGUCGUUUGGUUAUCAUAAUUGCACGUGGUUGGUUUAUAUAAAUUGUGCUAACCUGCAGAUGAAGGCGGAGGCGAGGUAAGUCUUCUGUGUGAUGUGGCUAGGCCACCCGGGGCAUAUUUUCUUUCUAAUAGGGGUUUAGGGGGUUGAACUUGCUGAGACGUGGUCUCAGUGGUUAUUGAAUAACCAUUUCAGGUCCCUGAUGGACGGAGCGGCCAGAUAGCUUUGGUUGGCCUUGAAGAGUUGGAGAAGUGAAGUCAUAAGGAUUGGAGAUCGUGUACGUCCUGUAGGUCGUAGGAUAAUCUCUCUUUAAGAGCCAGUCCUUUGUAGACUUUUGGCCGUAGACCUCUGUUUGUAAUUUCGUUGAUUUACGAAAGUGUUAUGUUGUGAUUUUGUUUUCCUGCUUUUCUAUCCCAAGUUAAAUGUUGUCAGG